This 469-nucleotide ribosomal RNA is filed under the name uncultured bacterium. Its description in RNAcentral is "bacterial SSU rRNA". It matches the Rfam family "Bacterial small subunit ribosomal RNA", at positions 53 to 504 of the family's 1533-position model. The record is from RNAcentral.
ACAUGCAAGUCGAACGCGCAGCGAAAGGUGCUUGCACCUUUCAAGCGAGUGGCGAACGGGUGAGUAACACGUGGAUAACCUGCCUCAAGGCUGGGGAUAACAUUUGGAAACAGAUGCUAAUACCGAAUAAAACUUAGUAUCGCAUGAUACAAAGUUGAAAGGCGCUACGGCGUCACCUAGAGAUGGGUCCGCGGUGCAUUAGUUAGUUGGUGGGGUAAAGGCCUACCAAGACAAUGAUGCAUAGCCGAGUUGAGAGACUGAUCGGCCACAUUGGGACUGAGACACGGCCCAAACUCCUACGGGAGGCUGCAGUAGGGAAUCUUCCACAAUGGGCGAAAGCCUGAUGGAGCAACGCCGCGUGUGUGAUGAAGGCUUUAGGGUCGUAAAGCACUGUUGUAUGGGAAGAAAUGCUAGAAUAGGGAAUGAUUUUAGUUCGACGGUACCAUACCAGAAAGGGACGGCUAAAUAC